RNAcentral lists this ribosomal RNA (1530 nucleotides) under Escherichia coli 2534-86. Its description in RNAcentral is "bacterial SSU rRNA". It matches the Rfam family "Bacterial small subunit ribosomal RNA". Lineage: Bacteria; Pseudomonadati; Pseudomonadota; Gammaproteobacteria; Enterobacterales; Enterobacteriaceae. The record is from RNAcentral.
AGAGUUUGAUCAUGGCUCAGAUUGAACGCUGGCGGCAGGCCUAACACAUGCAAGUCGAACGGUAACAGGAGGCAGCUUGCUGCUUUGCUGACGAGUGGCGGACGGGUGAGUAAUGUCUGGGAAACUGCCUGAUGGAGGGGGAUAACUACUGGAAACGGUAGCUAAUACCGCAUAACGUCGCAAGACCAAAGAGGGGGACCUUCGGGCCUCUUGCCAUCGGAUGUGCCCAGAUGGGAUUAGCUUGUUGGUGGGGUAACGGCUCACCAAGGCGACGAUCCCUAGCUGGUCUGAGAGGAUGACCAGCCACACUGGAACUGAGACACGGUCCAGACUCCUACGGGAGGCAGCAGUGGGGAAUAUUGCACAAUGGGCGCAAGCCUGAUGCAGCCAUGCCGCGUGUAUGAAGAAGGCCUUCGGGUUGUAAAGUACUUUCAGCGGGGAGGAAGGGAGUAAAGUUAAUACCUUUGCUCAUUGACGUUACCCGCAGAAGAAGCACCGGCUAACUCCGUGCCAGCAGCCGCGGUAAUACGGAGGGUGCAAGCGUUAAUCGGAAUUACUGGGCGUAAAGCGCACGCAGGCGGUUUGUUAAGUCAGAUGUGAAAUCCCCGGGCUCAACCUGGGAACUGCAUCUGAUACUGGCAAGCUUGAGUCUCGUAGAGGGGGGUAGAAUUCCAGGUGUAGCGGUGAAAUGCGUAGAGAUCUGGAGGAAUACCGGUGGCGAAGGCGGCCCCCUGGACGAAGACUGACGCUCAGGUGCGAAAGCGUGGGGAGCAAACAGGAUUAGAUACCCUGGUAGUCCACGCCGUAAACGAUGUCGACUUGGAGGUUGUGCCCUUGAGGCGUGGCUUCCGGAGCUAACGCGUUAAGUCGACCGCCUGGGGAGUACGGCCGCAAGGUUAAAACUCAAAUGAAUUGACGGGGGCCCGCACAAGCGGUGGAGCAUGUGGUUUAAUUCGAUGCAACGCGAAGAACCUUACCUGGUCUUGACAUCCACAGAACUUUCCAGAGAUGGAUUGGUGCCUUCGGGAACUGUGAGACAGGUGCUGCAUGGCUGUCGUCAGCUCGUGUUGUGAAAUGUUGGGUUAAGUCCCGCAACGAGCGCAACCCUUAUCCUUUGUUGCCAGCGGUCCGGCCGGGAACUCAAAGGAGACUGCCAGUGAUAAACUGGAGGAAGGUGGGGAUGACGUCAAGUCAUCAUGGCCCUUACGACCAGGGCUACACACGUGCUACAAUGGCGCAUACAAAGAGAAGCGACCUCGCGAGAGCAAGCGGACCUCAUAAAGUGCGUCGUAGUCCGGAUUGGAGUCUGCAACUCGACUCCAUGAAGUCGGAAUCGCUAGUAAUCGUGGAUCAGAAUGCCACGGUGAAUACGUUCCCGGGCCUUGUACACACCGCCCGUCACACCAUGGGAGUGGGUUGCAAAAGAAGUAGGUAGCUUAACCUUCGGGAGGGCGCUUACCACUUUGUGAUUCAUGACUGGGGUGAAGUCGUAACAAGGUAACCGUAGGGGAACCUGCGGUUGGAUCACCU